UACGAAGGGGGCUAGCGUUGCUCGGAAUCACUGGGCGUAAAGGGUGCGUAGGCGGGUCUUUAAGUCAGGGGUGAAAUCCUGGAGCUCAACUCCAGAACUGCCUUUGAUACUGAGGAUCUUGAGUUCGGGAGAGGUGAGUGGAACUGCGAGUGUAGAGGUGAAAUUCGUAGAUAUUCGCAAGAACACCAGUGGCGAAGGCGGCCCCACUGGCC
This 212-nucleotide ribosomal RNA is filed under the name uncultured bacterium. Its description in RNAcentral is "partial 16S ribosomal RNA". It matches the Rfam family "Bacterial small subunit ribosomal RNA", at positions 524 to 734 of the family's 1533-position model. The record is from RNAcentral.